This is a non-coding RNA of Acanthopagrus latus (yellowfin seabream), 490 nucleotides long. NCBI's taxonomy places the organism in Eukaryota, Metazoa, Chordata, Actinopteri, Spariformes, Sparidae. The record is from the annotation of a RefSeq genome assembly.
UCUGCGCUGCCAGUACACAGUGAUGUGGUUUAAUGACGCUCCCUCACUAAAAACCCCUCAGCGUCUUCCUGUUAGUGAGAUGUUUGCACUUGCAGUUGAGGAGUGUCACUGGAGGAGGCACAAACUCCAAAAUGUCUCCGGCUGUGAUCGGAUUUCUUCUCAUCUUACUUCCAUAUCGAGCAACGAGUGUGACGUUUCAGCCGUCUUUUCCGAGGAUAGUCAGCGACACCGCCAGGGUAGAAAUCAAAUGCAAUCAUGAUGACGAUAACCUCAAUGCCAUGCUCUGGUACCAGCAGAAGCAGAGCGGUUUGAUGACUUUCAUUGGAUACAGCUACAUCGGCAGUGACCCCAUAUAUGAGAAGCAGUUUGAACAUCGGUUUAAGAUGACAAGAGAAAACAAAAAAGCAGGAGCUCUGAUUAUUCAGAGCGUCAAUCUGUCAGACUCGGCUGUGUAUUUCUGCGCUGCCAGUACACAGUGAUGUGGUUUAAU